This 102-nucleotide ribosomal RNA is filed under the name Actinomadura darangshiensis. Its description in RNAcentral is "partial 23S ribosomal RNA". It matches the Rfam family "Bacterial large subunit ribosomal RNA", at positions 1 to 95 of the family's 2925-position model. Lineage: Bacteria; Bacillati; Actinomycetota; Actinomycetes; Streptosporangiales; Thermomonosporaceae. The record is from RNAcentral.
UUGUGUGUUCAAGUUUUUUAGGGCAUACGGUGGAUGCCUUGGCAUCAGGAGCCGAUGAAGGACGUGGGAGCCUGCGAUAUGCCUCGGGGAGUCGGCAACCAG